UUUAUUGUACACACCUGGAGAGCUUAUUAAAAUGCAAAUUCUAAUGUAUUAAGCCUGAGAGGAACUGAUAAUUCUGUAUUUCUAAUAUGCUCUCAAGUAACAUCAAG
RNAcentral lists this microRNA precursor (107 nucleotides) under Marmota monax (woodchuck). Lineage: Eukaryota; Metazoa; Chordata; Mammalia; Rodentia; Sciuridae. The record is from RNAcentral.